AUUGAACGCUGGCGGCAUGCUUUACACAUGCAAGUCGAACGGCAGCGCGGGCUUCGGCCUGGCGGCGAGUGGCGAACGGGUGAGUAAUGCAUCGGAACGUGCCCAGUAGUGGGGGAUAGCCCGGCGAAAGCCGGAUUAAUACCGCACACGACCUGAGGGUGAAAGCGGGGGACCGAAAGGCCUCGCGCUAUUGGAGCGGCCGAUGUCGGAUUAGCUAGUUGGUGGGGUAAAGGCUUACCAAGGCGACGAUCCGUAGCUGGUCUGAGAGGACGACCAGCCACACUGGGACUGAGACACGGCCCAGACUCCUACGGGAGGCAGCAGUGGGGAAUUUUGGACAAUGGGGGCAACCCUGAUCCAGCCAUGCCGCGUGCGGGAAGAAGGCCUUCGGGUUGUAAACCGCUUUUGUUCGGGAAGAAAACCUCUGGGCUAAUACCCCGGGGGGAUGACGGUACCGGAAGAAUAAGCACCGGCUAACUACGUG
RNAcentral lists this ribosomal RNA (484 nucleotides) under uncultured bacterium. RNAcentral's name for it is "partial 16S ribosomal RNA". It matches the Rfam family "Bacterial small subunit ribosomal RNA", at positions 29 to 507 of the family's 1533-position model. The record is from RNAcentral.